UUUCCGUAGGUGAACCUGCGGAAGGAUCAUUAUUGGAUUUUGAAACUUCAGGCUGCUGCUGGCUCUCCUCGGAGGGCAUGUGCACGCUUGUUGUCCAUUAUUUCUCCCACUGUGCACAAAUUGUAGACCUUUCAGUAGGCCUAUGUUGUUUUUCACAAUCUCUGAAUGUAAUAGAAUGGUUUUGAAUCUUGGGAAAUACAAUAAAACUUUCAACAACGGAUCUCUUGGUUCCG
Molecule: unclassified non-coding RNA, 233 nt
Filed under: plant metagenome
Description: partial contains small subunit ribosomal RNA, internal transcribed spacer 1, and 5.8S ribosomal RNA
Source: RNAcentral